This 344-nucleotide ribosomal RNA is filed under the name uncultured bacterium. RNAcentral describes it as "bacterial SSU rRNA". It matches the Rfam family "Bacterial small subunit ribosomal RNA", at positions 28 to 507 of the family's 1533-position model. The record is from RNAcentral.
GAUGAACGCUAGCUACAGGCUUAACACAUGUAAUUAAGAUUAAAGAUUUAUCGGUGUACGAUGGGGAUGCGUUCCAUUAGGUAGUAGGCGGGGUAACGGCCCACCUAGCCUACGAUGGAUAGGGGUUCUGAGAGGAAGGUCCCCCACAUUGGAACUGAGACACGGUCCAAACUCCUACGGGAGGCAGCAGUGAGGAAUAUUGGUCAAUGGACGAGAGUCUGAACCAGCCAAGUAGCGUGAAGGAUGAAGGUCCUACGGAUUGUAAACUUCUUUAUAAGGGAAUAAAACCUCCCACGUGUGGGAGCUUGUAUGUACCUUAUGAAUAAGCAUCGGCUAACUCCGUG